RNAcentral lists this ribosomal RNA (325 nucleotides) under uncultured eukaryote. RNAcentral's name for it is "partial 18S ribosomal RNA". It matches the Rfam family "Eukaryotic small subunit ribosomal RNA", at positions 1470 to 1796 of the family's 1831-position model. The record is from RNAcentral.
CCCUUAGAUGUUCUGGGCUGCACGCGCGCUACACUGGUGCGUUCAGCGAGUUUAGCACCUUAACAGAUAUGUUUGGGUAAUCUUCUGAAAACGCACCGUGAUGGGGAUCGAUUAUUGUAAUUAUUAAUCGUCAACGAGGAAUUCCUAGUAAGUGUGAAUCAUCAGUUCGCGCUGAUUACGUCCCUGCCCUUUGUACACACCGCCCGUCGCUGCUACCGAUUGAGUGGUCCGGUGAAUUAUUCGGACCGGUGGACUGUGGGGAAACCCGUGGCCUGCUGGGAAGUCUUGUGAACCUUAUCACUUAGAGGAAGCAGAAGUCGUAACA